GCGUAUUAUACGCUUUUUAGUAAAAAGUUACCAAAGCAUUAAAUGGAUACUUAAGCAUUAAAAUUUAAAUGGACGUUUUACAACGAAAUAUUGUAAGGAGUAAAUAUCGUUUGCUGAGAUUUACAAUUUUCCAUAAAUUCGGAAAACCGAUUUCUUAAAUAUAGGAAAAGUAUUUUACAUUUGUAGAAUAAAAGAUUUGGUGAACUGAAUCAUCUAAGUAACCAAAAAAUUAAAUCAACCGAGAUAUCGUUAGUAGCGGCGAGUGAACACGAUAAAAGAUUUUAAGGUUAAAAUUUUAUUUAAUAUCUGAAUAGCCUAAGAAGGUAACCUAUAAUAAGGACAGCCCUGUAAAAUAAAAUUUAACUUUGUUUUUCAAGUAAAACGAUACAAGUCAUGUUUUGUUUGAAUAGUGGGGGCCCACCCUCAAAAUCUAAAAAUUUUAAUGAUUGAUAGUGAAAAGUAUUGUAAAAGAACAGUGAAAAAGACUUUGCGAGAGUGAAAAGAUUUUGAAAUUUAAUGCUAAUAAUCUGUCAAAGCUUUUUAAGGUGAUGACAUACCUUUUGCAUAAUGGAUCAACAAGUUUAUUUUUGUGGCGAGCUUAAACAUUAAAUGUGUAGGCGUAAAGAAAUUAAGUUUUAAAAUGCUUAUUAGUCACUGAAAUAAGACCCGAAAUUAAGUGAUCUAACCAUGGACAGGUUGAAAAUUAGGCGGCAACGCUUGUUGGAGGACCGAACCCGUGUAUGUGGCAAAAUACUGGGAUGAUCUGUGGUUAGGGGUGAAAGGCCAAUCAAACUUAAAGAUAGCUGGUUUUCUGCGAAAUCUAUUUGAGUAGAGCGUUUAAAAAACUUUUAUAAAGGUAGAGCUCUCAAUAAAUGAUGGAGACGUAAAGUUUUACUGAGUUUGUUGAAACUUCGAAUGUUAUUAAAAUGAUUUUAAACAGACAGACUAUGAGUGCUAAGAUUCAUAGUCAAGAGGGAAACAGCCCAGACUAUUAAUUAAGGCUCCUAAAAAUAAUUAAGUGAAAAAAUUGUGAGAAAAUGUUGACAACCGAAAGGUAGGCUUAGAAGCAGCCAUCCUUUAAAGAAAGCGUAACAGCUCAUUGGUUUAGUUUUCUUGCAUUGAAAAUGUUUGGAACUAAAAUUAUUUGCCAAAAUUAUAGAUUUUAUAUAAAAUGGUAGCAGAACGUUCUGUACGUUUAAGAAGUUCUAUAGUAAUAUAGGAUGGAGAUAUCAGAAAUGAAAAUGUUGGUAUGAGUAACGAUAAACAAUGUGUAAAGCAUUGUCGCCUAAAGUUCAAGGUUUCCAAAACAAGGCUAAUCCGUUUUGGUAGUUUAAUCGGUCUCUAAGAAAUAAACGAAAGUUUUCUUUUAAUGAGAUAAAAAUAAAUUUUUCGAUUUUUGAAGUGACAAAACAUAAAUGUUAUCUUUAUUCCAUGGUUGUAAUAAAGGUUGUAUCAUGUUUUCUAGAAAUAGCUUCUUAAGUUAAUAAAACCGUACCCCAAACCGACACAGGUGAACAAGUUUAGUAAACUAAGGCGCUUGAGAGAAUUAUGUUGAAGGAACUCGGCAAAAUGACUCCGUAACUUCGGGAGAAGGAGUGACUCUAUAAAGGCAACUUUGUAGGGUUGUCACAGAAUCGGGGACAGCGACUGGUUAACAAAACCACAGGUCUCUGCGAAUUCGUAAGAAGAUGUAUUGAGGCUGACGCCUGCCCAGUGCUGUAAGAUUAAAGGAAGAGGUUUUUUGGCCUUGACCCUAACUCUCAGUAAACGGCGGCUGUAACUCUGACGGUCCUAAGGUAGCGAAAUUCCUUGGCAUUUAAUUGGUGUCCUGCAUGAAUGGCGUAACGACUGUCCCACUGUCUCCAACAUAAGCUCAGUGAAAUUGAAAUGUUCGUGAAGAUGCGAACUACUCGCGGCUAGACGGAAAGACCCCGGCACCUUUACUGCAGUUAUACAUUGUAAUGAACUUUUUUUUGUGUAGAAUAAGUGGAAAGUUGUUAGUUUUCAGCUACUUGCGCUAGCAAGCAAGAGAAACAUCGUUGAAAUACCACUCUUAAAACUUUUCAUUACUUAUUGAUUAAAACAUUGUAUAAUGGGUAGUUUGACUGGGGCGGUCGCCUCCUAAAGAGUAACGGAGGCGUGCAAAGGUAAACUUAAGUUGAACUAGCACAACUUUUAAGCAUAAUAGUAUAUGUUUGCCUGAUUGUAAGAUUGACAAAUCGAGCAAGGACGAAAGUCGGUUAUAGUGAUCCGGUAAUUCUGUGUGGAAAAGGUUACCGCUCAACGGAUAAAAGGUACGCCGGGGAUAACAGGCUAAUCACCCUCUAGAGACCCUAUCGACGGGGUGGUUUGGCACCUCGAUGUUGGAUCAUCGCAUCCUGGAGCUGUAGACGGUUCCAAGGGUUUGACUGUUCGUCAAUGAAGGCGGUACGUGAUCUGAGUUCAGAACGUUGUGAAACAGUUUGGUCCCUAUCUACCGUGAGAGAAAAAAACUGAGAGGAGUAGAGUAUAGUACGAGAGGACCCAUGAAAGUAAAUCCCUGGUGAAUCGAUUGUUAGACCAAUAGCAUAGUCGAUUAGCUACAUUUAUAAUAAAGAAUCACUGAAAGCAUCUAAGUGAAAAAUUAGCCUCGAUACAAGUUUUUUAAAGAAUGUAGAAGAUCACUACAUCGAUAGGCCUGAUGUGUAAGAAUUGCAAAAUUUUCAGCUAACAGGUACUAAAAAUAAAUUCUAAAGACUUUUUACUA
Molecule: ribosomal RNA, 2746 nt
Filed under: Nitzschia anatoliensis
Lineage: Eukaryota; Bacillariophyta; Bacillariophyceae; Bacillariales; Bacillariaceae
Description: Nitzschia sp. RGa-2021a 23S ribosomal RNA
Rfam family: Bacterial large subunit ribosomal RNA
Source: RNAcentral